GGGCGAUUAGCUCAGUUGGUUAGAGCGCCACCUUUACACGGUGGACGUCGGGGGUUCGAGUCCCUCAUCGCCCA
RNAcentral lists this transfer RNA (74 nucleotides) under Bifidobacterium scardovii. It matches the Rfam family "tRNA". From Rfam's summary of the family: Transfer RNA (tRNA) molecules are approximately 80 nucleotides in length. The record is from Rfam by way of RNAcentral. Lineage: Bacteria; Bacillati; Actinomycetota; Actinomycetes; Bifidobacteriales; Bifidobacteriaceae. RNAcentral also lists the same sequence under 5 other names.